GCAUUGCUGAAGAGUCCCACAAUACGACGAAACGGCUGUCCAGUGU
This 46-nucleotide non-coding RNA is filed under the name Schistosoma haematobium. Lineage: Eukaryota; Metazoa; Platyhelminthes; Trematoda; Strigeidida; Schistosomatidae. The record is from RNAcentral.